GCCCCCGUAGCUCAGUGGAUAGAGCAAUGGAUUCCUAAUCCAUGUGCCGCAAGUUCGAUUCUCGCCGGGGGCACCA
RNAcentral lists this transfer RNA (76 nucleotides) under Deltaproteobacteria bacterium. Its description in RNAcentral is "tRNA-Arg". It matches the Rfam family "tRNA". From Rfam's summary of the family: Transfer RNA (tRNA) molecules are approximately 80 nucleotides in length. Their secondary structure includes four short double-helical elements and three loops (D, anti-codon, and T loops). The record is from RNAcentral. RNAcentral also lists the same sequence under 2 other names. Lineage: Bacteria; Pseudomonadati; Myxococcota; Myxococcia.